RNAcentral lists this ribosomal RNA (253 nucleotides) under uncultured bacterium. Its description in RNAcentral is "partial 16S ribosomal RNA". It matches the Rfam family "Bacterial small subunit ribosomal RNA", at positions 524 to 776 of the family's 1533-position model. The record is from RNAcentral.
UACGUAGGGUGCGAGCGUUAAUCGGGAUUACUGUGCGUAAAGCGUGCGCAGGCGGCUUUGCAAGACAGAUGUGAAAUCCCCGGGCUCAACCUGGGAACUGCAUUUGUGACUGCAAGGCUAGAGUACGGCAGAGGGGGAUGGAAUUCCGCGUGUAGCAGUGAAAUGCGUAGAUAUGCGGAGGAACACCAAUGGCGAAGGCAAUCCCCUGGGCCUGUACUGACGCUCAUGCACGAAAGCGUGGGGAGCAAACAGG